Molecule: long non-coding RNA, 1274 nt
Organism: Cyprinus carpio carpio
Lineage: Eukaryota; Metazoa; Chordata; Actinopteri; Cypriniformes; Cyprinidae
Source: Ensembl
GAUUAAUCACGAUUAAUCGUUUGACAGCACUAAUAUAUAUAUUUAAUGCUCUUAAUGGUUUUCAUGACAUUUUAUUACAAACUGAGGUAAAGAUAUUUUAUGUUGAGAUCUUUUGAGGUAUAAGCAACCUAAAAUAUUUUAUUAUAUUUCUGCAAAGCUGCAAUAACAGAGAGAAAUAAAUGUUCUGGUUUUCUAAAAAACAGACCCUUAAGCCCUGAGGCCUGAGCUGACUUCAAGUGUGAAACAUCUCUCCAGACAGAGUUACAGCUCAUCUCAGCCACGGGCCUUCGUAUGUUAGUUUGUGAGCAGGAACAGCAUGGAUUCAGCUUGAGCCAGAGGUGUAUGUCAUGUUGGCAAUAAUAUAUAUAUAUAUGUAUAUAUUUUAACCGGUUGUUUUAAACUCUUGUGCAAAAAAAUGCUAUGAAAUGAAAACUGCUUGAAAGCGCCGUUACGAGCAGCUUCAGCUUGUGUAAGUCUUUGAUUCCUUUAUGUUAAUCAUUCUCACCUGUGCGCUGGGCUCAGAGAGUCUGCUGCUGUGUGUGAUUGCAAGGAGGUGCUAAUAACAUUUUACUUAAACGCCAUCUGCUCAGACUGCUGAGGUGGAGAGAGAGGGAAGUAAGAAAAAAAUAAGAGAGCGAAUAAAUAAAUCAGUCUUCAACCAAACAUCAUUCUAAUGGGAAAACUUACUGUACAUCUAAGUGUGAACAUUUGCAUCACAUUUAGGUGUCACCAAGGGAACAUAAUAUGUGUGGAGACCUAUUUGAUCUUCUCAAGAUUCACCUGGGAACACGUGCCUAUCACCAUGAAGAUCAGUGAAAUAUAGCAGACCCCACUGAAGACCUCCAAAAUCUGUCCAAGAAUGAAAUUCAGCAGGUAAUAUAAUAUGAAUCAGAACUGACAAUAUUUACUUUCUUAAGGUGUUUUCAUAGAUUAGAUUAGCAAAAUUGCAGUUGUCUACCCAGCAGGCACACAAUGUCAUGGGUUAAAUUUUGGUUGUCAAUUCAACAUCUAAUGUCAGUAUUAAAGGGAUAGUUCACCCAAAAAUGAAAAUUUUAUGUUUAUCUGCUUACCUCCAGGACAUCCAAGAUAUAGGUGACUUUGUUUCUUCAGUAGAACACAAACAAAGAUUUUUAACUCAAACCGUUGCAGUCUGUCAGUCAUAUAAUAGCAGUCAAUGGGCUCCAUGGCUUUGAGAGUAAAAUAAACAUACACAGACAAAACCAAAUUAAACCCUGUUUAUUAAAUCAGUUUAUUGCACAGGCCGAUCAUUUUGU